UACGAAGGGGGCUAGCGUUGCUCGGAAUUACUGGGCGUAAAGGGCGCGUAGGCGGACAGUUUAGUCAGAGGUGAAAGCCCAGGGCUCAACCUUGGAAUUGCCUUUGAUACUGACUGUCUUGAGUACGGGAGAGGUGUGUGGAACUCCGAGUGUAGAGGUGAAAUUCGUAGAUAUUCGGAAGAACACCAGUGGCGAAGGCGACUACCUGGCCUGUUCUUGACGCUGAGGCGCGAAAGCUAGGGGAGCAAACGGG
Molecule: ribosomal RNA, 253 nt
Filed under: uncultured bacterium
Lineage: Bacteria
Description: partial 16S ribosomal RNA
Rfam family: Bacterial small subunit ribosomal RNA
Source: RNAcentral